AAAGUCGUAACAAGGUAUCCGUAGGUGAACCUGCGGAUGGAUCAUUAGAAAGUGUUAGACGCGCAAGCGUCGACCACCUACUCUGUGCAUCGUAACGUACCCUGGCGGGAGCCUGCGCAAGCGGCGCCCGUCGAAGGGCAGAUGCCCCUCGGGGCGUCUGUUCCCAACAAACACAUCAACCAAAGUCUGAAGCUAAAGAAACAAUGUUAAACAACUUUUGACAACGGAUCUCUUGGCUCUC
RNAcentral lists this unclassified non-coding RNA (241 nucleotides) under Ascomycota sp. RNAcentral's name for it is "partial contains small subunit ribosomal RNA, internal transcribed spacer 1, and 5.8S ribosomal RNA". The stretch from base 1 to 47 matches the Rfam family "Eukaryotic small subunit ribosomal RNA", at positions 1785 to 1831 of the family's 1831-position model. Lineage: Eukaryota; Fungi; Ascomycota. The record is from RNAcentral.